This 459-nucleotide ribosomal RNA is filed under the name uncultured bacterium. RNAcentral's name for it is "partial 16S ribosomal RNA". It matches the Rfam family "Bacterial small subunit ribosomal RNA", at positions 338 to 795 of the family's 1533-position model. The record is from RNAcentral.
CCUACGGGAGGCAGCAGUGAGGAAUAUUGGUCAAUGGUCGGGAGACUGAACCAGCCAAGCCGCGUGAGGGAUGAAGGUACAGCGUAUCGUAAACCUCUUUUGUCAGGGAACAAAGGCGGGGACGUGUCCCCGGCUGAGUGUACCUGAAGAAAAAGCAUCGGCUAACUCCGUGCCAGCAGCCGCGGUAAUACGGAGGAUGCGAGCGUUAUCCGGAUUUAUUGGGUUUUAAGGGUGCGCAGGCGGGCUGUUAAGUCAGCGGUCAAAGCCCGGGGCUCAACCCCGGCCCGCCGUUGAAACUGGCAGUCUCGAGUUGGAGAGAAGUAGGCGGAAUGCGCGGUGUAGCGGUGAAAUGCAUAGAUAUCGCGCAGAACUCCGAUUGCGAAGGCAGCAUGCCGGCUCCACACUGACGCUGAGGCACGAAAGCGUGGGUAUCGAACAGGAUUAGAUACCCUUGUAGUC